UAACUAUGGCUUUCGGAGACUAUCCAAAGGAAUAUAACCCAGCGGUUCACGGGCCAUACGAUCCGGCUCGCUAUUAUGGAAAACGUAAGUGCUUGCCAGA
Non-coding RNA from Papilio machaon (common yellow swallowtail), 100 nucleotides. The record is from Rfam. Lineage: Eukaryota; Metazoa; Arthropoda; Insecta; Lepidoptera; Papilionidae.